RNAcentral lists this long non-coding RNA (1810 nucleotides) under Homo sapiens (human). RNAcentral's name for it is "HSALNT0050182". Lineage: Eukaryota; Metazoa; Chordata; Mammalia; Primates; Hominidae. The record is from RNAcentral.
GUGUCUCAAAUAAAAAACCAAAGUUUUAUUCAAAUAACUUGCAAUUAUGAUAGAUAUUUUUCAAUUUUAUUUAGUAGCCAGGAAUUUGAAUGUUAAUUACUUUAUCGUGAACUUAUUUCUUCCAUGAAGAAGCUAAUUGAAAAAUUACCAAAUUCUGUAUUUUUGUAAACAUAACAAAAAGAUACAUUGAGUAAAUAUUUUAAAUCUACUCAAGUUACUUGAAGAUUUUUCUUUAUGAGAGGUUACAAAAAUUAAACAAAUUCACAUUUCUAACAAAGAACAACAUAUUCUCUCUACAAAUAUAUACAUUGUAUAAUGUAAUACUAAGUCUAAAAAGAUUUGCAAGGCAUGGUGGCUCACACCUGUAAUCCCAGCACUUUGGGAGGGCAAGGUAGGAGGAUUGCUUGAGGCCAGGAGUUCAAGACCAGCCUGGGAAACACAACGAGACCCUGUAUCUGCCAAAAAAAAAAAAAAAAUUGACCAGCCAUAAUGGCAAUGGCCUGGGGUUCCAGCUACUCAGGAGGCUGAGGUGGGAGGAUUGCUUGAACCCCAGAGUUUGAGGCUGCAGUGAGCUAUGAUCACGCCACUGCACUCCAGCGUGGAAAAAACAGUAAGACCCUGUCUCAAAAAAAAAAAAAAAAAAAAAAAAAAAACCCUAGGAAGAUAAAUUUAAGCUACUGGUUAUUUUUAAAAUAAUUAGUCACAAUAUUUUUCUAAGGAAAUAAAGCUCUUUUGAAACAACUAAUAUUCUGAUUUACUCUAAUUUGCCUUGCCCAUGUCAUCAAAACACUUUUGUUAUAGAAGGACUACAAAAGGCUCUCAUAACUAAUAGUCUUAUUAGAAAUGUUUUAAUGCAUAGAAGUAGUCAUUUAAAGGAAAAUGAAGACUUUUAUGCCAAAAGAAUGUUGAAUUGAUAUAAAUGGAAAAAGUAGAACAAGGUUUCCCUGUAUUUACAUUUGGAUAAAAUCAAAGAAGAAUAUAAGUUCCAUGAGGGCAUGCAUUCUAUCUACUUAGUUUACUACUGAAUCUCAGAGCCCAGAAAAAUAUUUGAAAUAUGCAAGGUGCUUUACACAAAUACUUGUUCAUAAGAUCCAGGAUUGACAGUGCCCUGGUGCCUGACGGUGGCAAACAAAUAUCCUUUCUGGAAAAAGAUAACAUUGUCCAAGUUUUCAAAUUAUUUCUACAAACCCUAUUUCAAUAUUUCCUACACAUAAUAAAAUACAUCCAGGCAGAUAAAUAAAUUGCAACACAAGCGACAGGAGACACAGAAGCACAGGUACUACAGAUAACUGGAAAUAAAAAAAUAACAGAUAAAUUUGCAAAUUUGUAAUGAACUCUCAACUCAGAAUUAUAUAGUCAAUUAAAAUAUUGUUCAAUAACCAGGUUAAAUAAAUAAAAUGUAAUAUAGCAGGUCUAAAAAAUAACCAAAUAAAAUCCUAUAAUAGAUAAAAUAAUCUAAACCAUUUAAUAGAUGUUAUAGUGGAAAAGCUAGAUUUACUGAAACAGUAUUUGGUUAAAACAAGUAAUAUGCUGAGAGAUAUGUUAGAAGAAACUAUCCAGAAUUAAGACAGUCAAAAGGACACAAUAUAGAAAUCUGAGUAGAAAACAAUAAGAGAGGAUGAGAAGGUCUAAUAGAAGAGUCAUGAAUGGAAAGAAUAAGAAGAAUUAGGCAAAGCAAUAUUCAAUAAAUGUUAUGAUCUGAAUGUGUCCCUCCAAAAUUCAUGUUACAACCUAAGACCCAAUGUGGUAAUAUUAAGAGGUGGGGUCCUUUGGAAAGUGAUUAAGUCAUGGUGGCUCUGCUCUCGUAAAC